RNAcentral lists this ribosomal RNA (391 nucleotides) under uncultured bacterium. RNAcentral's name for it is "bacterial SSU rRNA". It matches the Rfam family "Bacterial small subunit ribosomal RNA", at positions 29 to 412 of the family's 1533-position model. The record is from RNAcentral.
AACGAACGCUGGCGGCGCGCUUAACACAUGCAAGUCGAACGAGAAGGCGUAGCAAUACGCUUGUACAGUGGCGAACGGGUGAGUAAUACGUGGGCGACCUACCCUCGAGUGGGGAAUAACCCGCCGAAAGGCGGGCUAAUGCCGCGUACGCUUCCAUCUUUAUGGAGGUGGAAGGAAAGCCGUGCCGUGGGCACGGCGCUCAAGGAUGGGCUCACGUCCUAUCAGCUUGUUGGAGGGUAACGGCCUACCAAGGCUCCGACGGUAGCUGGUCUGAGAGGACGAUCAGCCACACUGGCACUGCGACACGGGCCAGACUCCUACGGGAGGCAGCAGUGAGGAGUAUUGCGCAAUGGGCGAAAGCCUGACGCAGCGACGCCGCGUGGGGGAUGAA